This 84-nucleotide transfer RNA is filed under the name Eubacterium oxidoreducens. It matches the Rfam family "tRNA". Rfam says of the family: Transfer RNA (tRNA) molecules are approximately 80 nucleotides in length. The record is from Rfam by way of RNAcentral. Lineage: Bacteria; Bacillati; Bacillota; Clostridia; Eubacteriales; Eubacteriaceae. RNAcentral also lists the same sequence under 1 other name.
GCCGGUGUGUCGGAAUUGGCAGACGAGGCAGACUCAAAAUCUGUUGAGAGCAAUCUCGUGCGGGUUCAAGUCCCGCCACCGGCA